Molecule: ribosomal RNA, 157 nt
Filed under: Fagonia longispina
Lineage: Eukaryota; Viridiplantae; Streptophyta; Magnoliopsida; Zygophyllales; Zygophyllaceae
Description: 5.8 ribosomal RNA
Rfam family: 5.8S ribosomal RNA
About the family: 5.8S ribosomal RNA (5.8S rRNA) is a component of the large subunit of the eukaryotic ribosome. It is transcribed by RNA polymerase I as part of the 45S precursor that also contains 18S and 28S rRNA.
Source: RNAcentral
UAAAAUGACUCUCGGCAACGGAUAUCUCGGCUCUCGCAUCGAUGAAGAACGUAGCGAAAUGCGAUACUUGGUGUGAAUUGCAGAAUCCAGUGAACCAUCGAGUCUUUGAACGCAAGUUGCGCCCGAAGCCUUCGGGCUAAGGGCACGUCUGCCUGGG